Molecule: non-coding RNA, 110 nt
Organism: Chlamydomonas reinhardtii
Lineage: Eukaryota; Viridiplantae; Chlorophyta; Chlorophyceae; Chlamydomonadales; Chlamydomonadaceae
Source: Rfam
GCACUAGUGGUAUAGUGGUAGCAUAGGUCCUUGCCAGUUGAGCGGGCGAGCCUGCCAGCUCGCAGCGCAGCACCGCGGACCAGACCCGAGUUCGAUUCUCGGCUAGUGCA